UACGAAGGGGGCGAGCGUUGUUCGGAUUUACUGGGCGUAAAGGGCGCGCAGGCGGCGCAUUUUGUCAGGCGUGAAAGCCCCGGGCUUAACCUGGGAACUGCGUUUGAUACGGAUGGGCUAGAGUUCGGGAGAGGAGAGUGGAAUUCCCAGUGUAGAGGUGAAAUUCGUAGAUAUUGGGAAGAACACCGGUGGCGAAGGCGGCUAUCUGGACCGACAUUGACGCUGAGGCGCGAAAGCGUGGGGAGCAAACAGG
Molecule: ribosomal RNA, 253 nt
Filed under: uncultured bacterium
Lineage: Bacteria
Description: partial 16S ribosomal RNA
Rfam family: Bacterial small subunit ribosomal RNA
Source: RNAcentral